RNAcentral lists this ribosomal RNA (465 nucleotides) under uncultured Klebsiella sp. Its description in RNAcentral is "bacterial SSU rRNA". It matches the Rfam family "Bacterial small subunit ribosomal RNA", at positions 338 to 795 of the family's 1533-position model. The record is from RNAcentral. Lineage: Bacteria; Pseudomonadati; Pseudomonadota; Gammaproteobacteria; Enterobacterales; Enterobacteriaceae.
CCUACGGGCGGCAGCAGUGGGCAAUAUUGCACAAUGGGCGCAAGCCUGAUGCAGCCAUGCCGCGUGUGUGAAGAAGGCCUUCGGGUUGUAAAGCACUUUCAGCGGGGAGGAAGGCGGUGAGGUUAAUAACCUCAUCGAUUGACGUUACCCGCAGAAGAAGCACCGGCUAACUCCGUGCCAGCAGCCGCGGUAAUACGGAGGGUGCAAGCGUUAAUCGGAAUUACUGGGCGUAAAGCGCACGCAGGCGGUCUGUCAAGUCGGAUGUGAAAUCCCCGGGCUCAACCUGGGAACUGCAUUCGAAACUGGCAGGCUAGAGUCUUGUAGAGGGGGGUAGAAUUCCAGGUGUAGCGGUGAAAUGCGUAGAGAUCUGGAGGAAUACCGGUGGCGAAGGCGGCCCCCUGGACAAAGACUGACGCUCAGGUGCGAAAGCGUGGGGAGCAAACAGGAUUAGAUACCCUAGUAGUC